GAUGGACGCUGGCGGCGUGCCUAAUACAUGCAAGUCGAGCGAACGGACGAGAAGCUUGCUUCUCUGAUGUUAGCGGCGGACGGGUGAGUAACACGUGGAUAACCUACCUAUAAGACUGGGAUAACUUCGGGAAACCGGAGCUAAUACCGGAUAAUAUUUUGAACCGCAUGGUUCAAAAGUGAAAGACGGUCUUGCUGUCACUUAUAGAUGGAUCCGCGCUGCAUUAGCUAGUUGGUAAGGAACGGCUUACCAAGGCAACGAUGCAUAGCCGACCUGAGAGGGUGAUCGGCCACACUGGAACUGAGACACGGUCCAGACUCCUACGGGAGGCAGCAGUAGGGAAUCUUCCGCAAUGGGCGAAAGCCUGACGGAGCAACGCCGCGUGAGUGAUGAAGGUCUUCGGAUCGUAAAACUCUGUUAUUAGGGAAGAACAUAUGUGUAAGUAACUGUGCACAUCUUGACGGUACCUAAUCAGAAAGCCACGGCUAACUACGUG
RNAcentral lists this ribosomal RNA (496 nucleotides) under uncultured bacterium. RNAcentral's name for it is "partial 16S ribosomal RNA". It matches the Rfam family "Bacterial small subunit ribosomal RNA", at positions 28 to 507 of the family's 1533-position model. The record is from RNAcentral.